This 24-nucleotide unclassified non-coding RNA is filed under the name Mus musculus (house mouse). RNAcentral describes it as "oocyte_clustered_small_RNA13793". Lineage: Eukaryota; Metazoa; Chordata; Mammalia; Rodentia; Muridae. The record is from RNAcentral.
UGCCACCGAGCAGGCUCCCGUGCA